Molecule: ribosomal RNA, 433 nt
Filed under: uncultured bacterium
Lineage: Bacteria
Description: partial 16S ribosomal RNA
Rfam family: Bacterial small subunit ribosomal RNA
Source: RNAcentral
AACGAACGCUGGCGGCAUGCCUAACACAUGCAAGUCGAACGAGACCUUCGGGUCUAGUGGCGCACGGGUGCGUAACGCGUGGGAACCUGCCCUUAGGUUCGGAAUAACUCAGAGAAAUUUGAGCUAAUACCGGAUAAUGUCUUCGGACCAAAGAUUUAUCGCCUUUGGAUGGGCCCGCGUAGGAUUAGCUUGUUGGUGGGGUAAUGGCCUACCAAGGCGACGAUCCUUAGCUGGUCUGAGAGGAUGAUCAGCCACACUGGGACUGAGACACGGCCCAGACUCCUACGGGAGGCAGCAGUGGGGAAUAUUGGACAAUGGGCGAAAGCCUGAUCCAGCAAUGCCGCGUGAGUGAUGAAGGCCUUAGGGUUGCAAAGCUCUUUUACCAGGGAUGAUAAUGACAGUACCUGGAGAAUAAGCUCCGGCUAACUCCGUG